UGGGGAAUUUUGGACAAUGGGGGAAACCCUGAUCCAGCCAUCCCGCGUGUGCGAUGAAGGCCUUCGGGUUGUAAAGCACUUUUGGCAGGAAAGGAACGUCGCGGGUUAAUACCCCGCGAAACUGACGGUACCUGCAGAAUAAGCACCGGCUAACUACGUGCCAGCAGCCGCGGUAAUACGUAGGGUGCAAGCGUUAAUCGGAAUUACUGGGCGUAAAGCGUGCGCAGGCGGUUCGGAAAGAAAGAUGUGAAAUCCCAGAGCUUAACUUUGGGAACUGCAUUUUUAACUACCGGGCUAGAGUGUGUCAGAGGGAGGUGGAAUUCCGCGUGUAGCAGUGAAAUGCGUAGAUAUGCGGAGGAACACCGAUGGCGAAGGCAGCCUCCUGGGAUAACACUGACGCUCAUGCACGAAAGCGUGGGGAGCAAACAGGAUUAGAUACCCUGGUAGUCCACGCCCUAAACGAUGUCAACUAGCUGUUGGGGCCUUCGGGCCUUGGUAGCGCAGCUAACGCGUGAAGUUGACCGCCUGGGGAGUACGGUCGCAAGNUUAAACUUAAAUGAAUUAGACGGGGGUCAUAGCUG
This 581-nucleotide ribosomal RNA is filed under the name uncultured bacterium. RNAcentral's name for it is "partial 16S ribosomal RNA". It matches the Rfam family "Bacterial small subunit ribosomal RNA", at positions 355 to 929 of the family's 1533-position model. The record is from RNAcentral.